CACGUAGGGUGCGAGCGUUGUCCGGAAUUAUUGGGCGUAAAGAGCUCGUAGGCGGUGUGUCGCGUCGGCCGUGAAAACCUGCAGCUUAACUGUGGGCGUGCGGUCGAUACGGGCAUCACUGGAGUUCGGCAGGGGAGACUGGAGUUCCUGGUGUAGCGGUGAAAUGCGCAGAUAUCAGGAGGAACACCGGUGGCGAAGGCGGGUCUCUGGGCCGAUACUGACGCUGAGGUGCGAAAGCGUGGGGAGCAAACAGG
Molecule: ribosomal RNA, 254 nt
Filed under: uncultured bacterium
Lineage: Bacteria
Description: partial 16S ribosomal RNA
Rfam family: Bacterial small subunit ribosomal RNA
Source: RNAcentral